CUUUUUAUUUGUUGAACAAACUUAUGGUUGUGUGCUUUAGGGCAGAAGCCGGAGAAAAAAAUAUCAUCAGCUGCCACAGCAUCAUGAUACUCACAUGGAUCGAUCAGCUUCCUGUCCUAGAAGAG
This 125-nucleotide small nucleolar RNA is filed under the name Oryza sativa Indica Group (long-grained rice). Its description in RNAcentral is "box C/D snoRNA". The record is from RNAcentral. Lineage: Eukaryota; Viridiplantae; Streptophyta; Magnoliopsida; Poales; Poaceae.